This is a long non-coding RNA of Dromaius novaehollandiae (emu), 2637 nucleotides long. RefSeq lists it as uncharacterized. Lineage: Eukaryota; Metazoa; Chordata; Aves; Casuariiformes; Dromaiidae. The record is from RefSeq and is a predicted model, not a curated record. The transcript has 6 exons.
CGCCGAGGCCACACCCCGGCCCGGCCCGGCCGGCGCGGGGCGGAGCGGCCCGCGGGUGCGCACGGGGAGCAGCCGGCGCGCCCGGCUCCCGCACCGCGGGGCGGGGAAGGACAGCUCAGGCGUGACAAGCGGGUUUUAGCGGGAGAGCCCCUCCGGCCGGCUCCGCAGGAGGCUUCCGCGGCUGCCGGGCAGGCGAAAGCGUGGUGUGAUGCAGCGGAGGCAGUGCGGGCUGCACAGCAGGGUCCCGUCCCGUCAGUGCUUCGAGGAGUGCCUCUCAUGAUGCUCUAGCAGCCGUGUGCCACAGCGGAGGUGUGCAAACAGAUUUUCAGCUCCUGAAGAAGUGAGCAGAUUAUAGAAAUAACAGGAACAGAAGGAAGACAGCUAUAAAAGCGGGAGCGAAUAGUCCAAAGACUGCAGGAGGUGGUCAAGAUAAAGCUACUGGUGAUACUGGUGUGUGGUCAGAGGUGGCAUAGGGCACACUGUGUCCAAGGACCUCAUAUGGUCAAUGGGCCGUGGGUCAAAUAAGGACUGCUCAGGAGCAGUGGAGCUUCGUGACCAAAGUCAGAACCUUAUAAAACUGCUGAUGUGUAGCUAAUAAAGAUGGAAGCUCAUUCUGGUAUGCUACCAGCCCUUCAGUGGAGGCAACCGCUUCUAGGGGAAGCACAGUAUUUUGGUCAGAUCUUCCACCUUUUAGCCACUGUGAUCACAUGAGGUUCUGCAAGAUGUUAUUUGUGAAGAGAAGCUUGGAGGGAAUACUGCAGAAGGACCACUCCGUAUAUGCCUUGUUCUUCCCCAAACAUCUCCUGUUGGCUGCUGCCUUAUUGCUUUCCCUAAGAAAGCUUUCUCAUAGUGAAGAAAAUAAAGUUGGAGAAUUCAUGCGUCCAGAUGGAAAAAGAGCAAAGCUAAUGAAAAAGAUGAUAGAUUUAAACCAUGCAUGCCAAGUGGAGCAUUGUGGAACAAUCUGAAUAACACCCAUGAUUUCAUGAAAAUGGCAAGAAAUCUGUGUAUAUUGACCAGAGGACAGGAAGGAACAGAACAGGCACUAGAAAUGAUCCCUUCUCCUAUUCAUCAAGCUUCAUCCUUUUGUAUUACAUCCUAACUAUCACUGGAGUCAGGUUUUUAAGUUAGAUCUGUCAGCUAACCCAUUAUGACCAUUGUUCUACUCUUACCUUUUCUUUAAGAAACGGAAGUAGCAGUAACCAUACAGUGGUAAUUCUCAUGUAAAUCCAAAGUACCCCAUAAUGAAAGAGGUGGAAAACAUUGAGAUUCCAUAGUAUUCUGAUUCUUUACAAUAAUUUUAGCUCAGUAUUAAGAAAUUCAUGUUUCCACUAAAGUAUCUUUUUACAUUUCUUAAAGAUGCUGUCCUGUUGUUUGCUGUGAAUCGAGGUUUGUCUCUGGAAUCAGCAUGGUACAGAUCGUGUUGUAUUGAUAUUUUAGCUAUCACUUUAUCACUUUGUUUUAUUAUAUAGAUCCCACUGCAUUGGUAUAAAGUCCUAAAUAAGGCAAAAUUGAAAGUCUGACUUUAUUGUAUUCUGUGAUGUAUUGUUCCUGUGAACCCUCUACUUCCUUUCUCACACUCAUUCACACAAGGCCUUUGAAUGCUCGUGAUUCACAGGGACAGGUGCCCCUGCUUUCCUUUUUUUUUUUUGCCAUUAGUGAAAUAGAUGUUUUGAAGGACUCUUCAAGAAAUGCUUUUUGCAUUAUAAUAAGGUAUCAUAUUUCAGUCAUCAAAUCCCUACUUUGUGAAAGCCACCCUAUUGUAUUCAUUAGGACGUAUUGCAUAAAAAGGAUGAGCAAACACUUGGCUGGGAUAGUGCAAGCCUAUGAAGUCAAUGUAUGCUCAGUGGAGUUGGAGAGUCUGCUGAAUUCUUUGCCCGUUUCUGGGGCCCCAGGACAGUCAGGAUAUAGUCUGAUAUAAAAUAGUAUUGAGCUUUCAGCUUAAUAUUGAAUUGUAUUAGUUAAAGAAGGACUGAGAAGUAGUUAUAGAAUCUGAGCUACCUAUUUAUUGGCUAAAUGGGUUAGAAGUAUACUUUAUGCCUCUUUUUGCAUUAAUUGCCCACUCAAAGUUAGCACAGACUCCAUGGAAGCACCUGAUGCAUGAGAAAUAGAGCAUCAGAUCAUCUAAGAUUCUGAAAUAAGUCUCAGAGUUUUCUUUGAUACUGAAAAGUUUCUGUUGCUUUAACUUGGUUCUUGGCUUCAUGUUGAAAGAACCACAAUUCAGAGUGAGUCUACAUUUAAUUUUUUCUCUCACAACAUAAACGCUCCAUUAAAUAUUUAUCAUUUUUUAUCUGUCUCUCUCCAGAACAGCUGUUUAUUGAAUCUUUAUUUGAAUCUAUUAGCAGUAGUUUGUUUCAAGCCAAGAAGACAAAAAAAAUCUAUAUUUUGGAUGGCAGCCAGAACACAGUAUCUUCUCCACAAUUACACCUCUGUAACUAAAAAUCAAUUUAUUCCUUGUCAAUUAGGGGGAAGAAAAGGCAAAAGAAAAGCAUAAACAGAUUAAAAAUUUGUAAGGGCUUUUAUUUGCUCUUGCUUACAUUUAAAACACUUAAAUUUGUAUGAAGUAAUGGAAGUUAUCUUAAUGACUGCAGAGGAAUUGUGAAAUUUGAUAUAAACAUUUUCAGUAAUGUUUCACCACAA